CCAUAGUGAUUGUACCAACACUCCCACCAACAAUAGGGUUUCUCUUCCCCCACAGCCUCACCAGCAUUUGUUAUGGAUUCUUAUUUUGUGCAUUCUGAAUCUAUUAUAAAGAUAGGAUGUGUUCAGGAAACCUGAAUUAAUUGUUCUUAACUAGAUGAGACAGAACCAACUAUAACCAAAACCAUCACUAGGACCAUCACAGAUGUUGCUAAGAUGAGUUUGUUGUUAUAGCCAAAUCCUGGAACUUUUUUUUUUUUGUACCAGGAAUUAAACCCAGAGCCUUGCACUUGCCAGGCAGAUGCUGUGCCUCUGAGCUAUAUCCCUGGCCCUGGAACUUCUUCAGUGAGAUUACAAAAAAAAAAAAAUCUAAAUAAAAGCUACCUAACAUCUCAUUCUUCCAGGUGCUGCGUGCUGACAAGCAGCGUGUCUGUGCUGUCACUGAUGUGGGCCUCAGGGCUGCAUGGCUCUGACUCCCACUGGUGCACCCUGACUGCUGGCUGAUCACUGAGAGGCGCCAUCAGAGAGCCUGGCCGGAGGUGAGUGUGGCACAGGCCAGCAGCACGUGGUCUCAGCAGUGCAUUUCCCACAAGUUCAGUUAGCACGAGAAAUGAUGGGGAUUUCUUGGGGAUGCAGGGCUGGAGCUGCUGUUGUAACUGGGGUUCAGACUGAUCACCUGGGGAUGAUAGCAGUGGGGACGCGAAGUCUUAAGGGGGCAACCAGUGCCCAUGUCGGGGGACUCCCUGUGUCUCUCUGCUUUGGUUAUCGGGUGACAUCAGGUUGAUGCAGUCACAGCAGCGCCUGCAGCACAGACGGUAGUGUCUGUUGGAGAACAGUUCUUUCAGAAGCAUCUCCUGCACUUGGUUUUCCACAGAAGGCUGUGCAGGAGCAUAGAAUUCAGAGAGAGGACUGUCCUGAACAUGCGCGCCUCCUGAAGAUGAGAAUCCUGCGAAGGGGAACCAUGAGGCUCCUCACUGCCGAGACCAGGGGCCCCUUGGCAGCCUUAGUCCCCUGUGUGCAUUUUCCUCUGUGAGCGGCUCGCUUGACUUGUUCUUGGGCGUUCCCUGGGCCACAAGAGUGAUUUUUAUGUAAUUUGUGAUUUUGGGGGGAUGUGAGAUUGGUUUGGAGCGGUGGUGGCAAACCUGUGGGGCACAUGGCACAGCGGGCACACAGAGCCCUCUGUCAGCACGCAAGCUAAGUUGCCCCAGCAGCCAAGCGUCAGGUUUCACCGCAGUGUUGGACCUUUGCAAUAAAUAAGUGGAUUUGGGGUUGCAGUUUAGGCACCCAGUCUCUAAAAGGCUCGUCACCCCUGGGUUACAGGCUUUCAUGCUUUUAACUCUAGCACCUCCAUAUUUUAAAACAAAAAUGCCAUAGGUAAAGUGUCUUUUUGCUUCUUGCCUGAGGUGGGGCUCCGGCAGGAGUGGAGGUGGGAGACCUGCACAGUGAGGGCCCUUUCACAGCGGAGGGGAUUGGUGCCUCUGUUGUGUGUGUGCGUGCAUGCGUGUGUGUGUGUGUGUGUGUGUGUGUGUGUGUGUGUCCCUGUGUAGAAAGGCUUCCAGCCAAGCCCCUGGCUCAGUGCCUCCGAUGCUGCCCUCGCUCUCCUGUGCUGAGUCUCCGGAGGCUUCUUUCUCAGGGGACAUUCUUUGCCAAGGCUGGCCUUCUGCUUCUCCCUAGUCUCUGGUUUCCACAUUUCCUUGAGGAGCCUUUUCCGUGCCCUUCCCCUGAGGAGCACGUCACUGUCCUCAGCCUUCUCCUUCCAGCCAGGCCUCCAGCGGGCUGUUUUCCUGUGCUCCAGUACUUGCCAAUUUCUUUGGGAAGAUUCUGCGUUUAAAUUUGAGACCUAAUGUCUGGGCUGCAUAAGCCUGCCAGUUUUCUCCUGUUAACCUCCUUGAUGUUUUUCCUGAAUUUCUGCAUCCAAUAAACUUUGCAGAAAAUA
This is a long non-coding RNA of Chinchilla lanigera (long-tailed chinchilla), 1933 nucleotides long. RefSeq lists it as uncharacterized. The record is from RefSeq and is a predicted model, not a curated record. NCBI's taxonomy places the organism in Eukaryota, Metazoa, Chordata, Mammalia, Rodentia, Chinchillidae. The transcript has 2 exons.